GAUGAACGCUGGCGGCGUGCCUAAUACAUGCAAGUCGAGCGAACAGACGAGGAGCUUGCUCCUCUGACGUUAGCGGCGGACGGGUGAGUAACACGUGGAUAACCUACCUAUAAGACUGGGAUAACUUCGGGAAACCGGAGCUAAUACCGGAUAAUAUAUUGAACCGCAUGGUUCAAUAGUGAAAGACGGUUUUGCUGUCACUUAUAGAUGGAUCCGCGCCGCAUCAGCUAGUUGGUAAGGUAACGGCUUACCAAGGCAACGAUGCGUAGCCGACCUGAGAGGGUGAUCGGCCACACUGGAACUGAGACACGGUCCAGACUCCUACGGGAGGCAGCAGUAGGGAAUCUUCCGCAAUGGGCGAAAGCCUGACGGAGCAAAGCCGCGUGAGUGAUGAAGGUCUUCGGAUCGUAAAGCUCUGUUAUUAGGGAAGAACAAAUGUGUAAGUAACUAUGCACGUCUUGACGGUACCUAAUCAGAAAGCCACGGCUAACUACGUG
Molecule: ribosomal RNA, 497 nt
Filed under: uncultured bacterium
Lineage: Bacteria
Description: partial 16S ribosomal RNA
Rfam family: Bacterial small subunit ribosomal RNA
Source: RNAcentral